RNAcentral lists this long non-coding RNA (444 nucleotides) under Apteryx owenii (little spotted kiwi). Its description in RNAcentral is "lncRNA (ENSAOWG00000018299.1)". The record is from RNAcentral. Lineage: Eukaryota; Metazoa; Chordata; Aves; Apterygiformes; Apterygidae.
GCAGUGCUGUAACGUUUGCAGCAUGUGUUUCUAUGGAAGUCAUCUUUCUUACUUUCUUUUAUCCAGGCAUCAAAAGAAAAACAAAAAGAAGAAGGCGAAGACUGGAGCACACACACAAUGGUUUUCCCUGUCAUCUUUGCCAAAGAAAAGAAGAAAGGAAACAAACACCAUUGCAUCAGCUUCACAAGCAGGCACGCGGGGCAGGACAGCCAAAUGUUGGUCGGCUUUUUCUGUUUAAGCACCAUCUGGAAGUCGCUGCGAAACGCGAUGCGCCCAGGGAGGUUCUGCGGAAAGGGACUGGAGAGAAUGACACACCACGAGAUCCCCUUUUCCCAGGAAGUAAAUAGACGCUGCUCUGCAGCUGGCCAAAGCGCGGAGAGGAGGAGGUUCCCGCCGGGUCAAGCACAGGAUUUGCAGCCCUGGCUGGGAGACAGGAGCUCUUGA